GGAGUGCUUCGGGAAUAGAAGACAGGUGCUGCAUGGCUGUCGAUCAGCUCGUGUAGUGAGAUGUUGGGUUAAGUCCCGCAACGAGCGCAACCCCUUGUCCUUUGUUGCCAGCACGUAAUGGUGGGAACUCAAGGGAGACGUGCCGGUGAUAAACCGGAGGAAGGUGGGGAUGACGUCAAUGUCAUCAAUGGCCCUUACGGCCAGGGGCUACACACA
This 216-nucleotide ribosomal RNA is filed under the name uncultured Aeromonas sp. RNAcentral describes it as "partial 16S ribosomal RNA". It matches the Rfam family "Bacterial small subunit ribosomal RNA", at positions 1011 to 1221 of the family's 1533-position model. Lineage: Bacteria; Pseudomonadati; Pseudomonadota; Gammaproteobacteria; Aeromonadales; Aeromonadaceae. The record is from RNAcentral.